GAUGAACGCUGACAGAAUGCUUAACACAUGCAAGUCAACUUGAACUUCGGUUUGGGUGGCGGACGGGUGAGUAACGCGUAAAGAACUUGCCUCACAGCUAGGGACAACAUUUGGAAACGAAUGCUAAUACCUGAUAUUAUGAUUUUAGGGCAUCCUAGAAUUAUGAAAGCUAUAUGCGCUGUGAGAGAGCUUUGCGUCCCAUUAGCUAGUUGGAGAGGUAACGGCUCACCAAGGCGAUGAUGGGUAGCCGGCCUGAGAGGGUGAACGGCCACAAGGGGACUGAGACACGGCCCUUACUCCUACGGGAGGCAGCAGUGGGGAAUAUUGGACAAUGGACCAAGAGUCUGAUCCAGCAAUUCUGUGUGCACGAUGAAGUUUUUCGGAAUGUAAAGUGCUUUCAGUUUGGAAGAAAAAAAUGACGGUACCAACAGAAGAAGUGACGGCUAAAUACGUG
Molecule: ribosomal RNA, 454 nt
Filed under: uncultured bacterium
Lineage: Bacteria
Description: partial 16S ribosomal RNA
Rfam family: Bacterial small subunit ribosomal RNA
Source: RNAcentral